ACUGAACCCAGCUCCUCCCACACACCAAGACAGACAAGGGCACUGGACAAGCCAGUCCACCAGGGCAGGAGGGGACAGGACAGGACAGUGGGUCCUCUCCUCCAAGCCAAAGCACUCAAGUGACAUUCAAUAAGUGCUACUGGGUGGUGGGAACACAGCCAGAACAAGGAGCCAGCUGAGGGCCCUGGAGGAGGGAUCCGCUGAAGUGGAAGGGGCCUACCCAGAGCAUCACUGGGUAAACUGAUCACAACCAUAUGGAGUUCUUCGUGGCCCUAGAUGUCCUAAACACGCACAUGUGCAUACCUCUGUGCUGUGAAGCUGGUCUCAACUGUUCAUUCUUUACAAGCUGGGCUGCCCUCUCCUCCAUGACCUGGCUCAACCACCACAGGGGCAAGUGGAGAGCUGCGACCCAGAGCCUGAACUAGCACCCCCUUGUACGGAUGGAGCCACGGAGCGGGGAGAGGCCAGGAAGUGAAGGCCGGUCCAGAGCCAACAACAAGCAGAACAAUUUCAUGUGCAAAGACUCAGCGUGCUUGAGGCACGGGCUGGGCUGCCUCUCAGGAACAAGGCCAUUCACCGGGUGCGCUGUGAGCAGGGAGUCCUCAGACAUGGAUCGCCAAGGCCAUGGAGGAGGGCGGACCUGGCUCCCUGCAGGCCACAGAGCUUCACCCAAUGACUUCAGCAGAAGUCCCAUAAUCCACCUCUGGAAAGCCCUGCAUCACCUGCUGCUGUUUGGGUCCAAGAGCUUGAACUGCACCGAGGGACCAGCUCCUCAGGCUCCACCUGGACUUCUUGGCUUCCAGCCUUGCCUUCUCCAGUCCAUUUUCCUAGAGCUGCCAAAAGAUCCUCUCUAAAAAGUAUAUGUGGGGCCUGGCAGAUGACAUGGUGGUUAAGAUGCUGGACUCCCACAUUGCCUACUGUGGUUCAAGUCC
Molecule: long non-coding RNA, 932 nt
Organism: Tupaia belangeri chinensis (Chinese tree shrew)
Lineage: Eukaryota; Metazoa; Chordata; Mammalia; Scandentia; Tupaiidae
Exons: 4
Source: RefSeq, a predicted model, not a curated record